Molecule: ribosomal RNA, 490 nt
Filed under: uncultured bacterium
Lineage: Bacteria
Description: partial 16S ribosomal RNA
Rfam family: Bacterial small subunit ribosomal RNA
Source: RNAcentral
GAUGAACGCUAGCGGCAGGCCUAAUACAUGCAAGUCGAACGGGAUCCAGAUCAAAGCUUGCUUUGGUUUGGUGAGAGUGGCGUACGGGUGCGUAACGCGUGAGCAACCUACCCUUGUCAGGGGGUUAGCCCGGCGAAAGUCGGAUCAAUACCGCAUGACAUCAUUGAGAGGCAUCUUUCGAUGAUCAAAGAUUUAUCGGACAAGGAUGGGCUCGCGUGACAUUAGCUAGUUGGUAAGGUAACGGCUUACCAAGGCUACGAUGUCUAGGGGCUCUGAGAGGAGCAUCCCCCACACUGGUACUGAGACACGGACCAGACUCCUACGGGAGGCAGCAGUAAGGGAGAUUGGUCAAUGGACGGAAGUCUGAACCAGCCAUGCCGCGUGCAGGAAGACGGCGCUAGGGAUGGUAAACUGCUUUUAUACGGGAACAAACGUCGGUACGUGUACCGGUCUGAGUGUACCGUAAGAAUAAGGAUCGGCUAACUCCGUG